Molecule: ribosomal RNA, 308 nt
Filed under: uncultured Corynebacterium CB3
Lineage: Bacteria; Bacillati; Actinomycetota; Actinomycetes; Mycobacteriales; Corynebacteriaceae
Description: bacterial SSU rRNA
Rfam family: Bacterial small subunit ribosomal RNA
Source: RNAcentral
AACGCUGGCGGCGUGCUUAACACAUGCAAGUCGAACGGAAAGGCCAGUGCUUGCACUGGUACUCGAGUGGCGAACGGGUGAGUAACACGUGGGUGAUCUGCCUUGUACUCUGGGAUAAGCUUGGGAAACUGGGUCUAAUACCGGAUAAUAACUGCCUUUAGUGUGGUGGUUGGAAAGUUUUUUCGGUGCAAGAUGAGCUCGCGGCCUAUCAGCUUGUUGGUGGGGUAAUGGCCUACCAAGGCGUCGACGGGUAGCCGGCCUGAGAGGGUGUACGGCCACAUUGGGACUGAGAUACGGCCCAGACUCCU